Non-coding RNA from Chrysoperla carnea, 72 nucleotides. NCBI's taxonomy places the organism in Eukaryota, Metazoa, Arthropoda, Insecta, Neuroptera, Chrysopidae. The record is from the annotation of a RefSeq genome assembly.
ACUCGAAUGGCUUAAUUGGUAGGGCGCUUGACAUGAAUUCAAGAAGUCCGGGUUCGAGUCCUGGUUCGAGUG